CAUAGGUUAAUGAGGCGAACCGGGGGAACUGAAACAUCUAAGUACCCCGAGGAAAAGAAAUCAACCGAGAUUCCCCCAGUAGCGGCGAGCGAACGGGGAGGAGCCCAGAGCCUGAAUCAGUGUGUGUGUUAGUGGAAGCGUCUGGAAAGGCGCGCGAUACAGGGUGACAGCCCCGUACACAAAAAUGCACAUGCUGUGAGCUCGAUGAGUAGGGCGGGACACGUGGUAUCCUGUCUGAAUAUGGGGGGACCAUCCUCCAAGGCUAAAUACUCCUGACUGACCGAUAGUGAACCAGUACCGUGAGGGAAAGGCGAAAAGAACCCCGGCGAGGGGAGUGAAAAAGAACCUGAAACCGUGUACGUACAAGCAGUGGGAGCACAGAGCAAUCUGUGUGACUGCGUACCUUUUGUAUAAUGGGUCAGCGACUUAUAUUCUGUAGCAAGGUUAACCGAAUAGGGGAGCCGAAGGGAAACCGAGUCUUAACUGGGCGUUAAGUUGCAGGGUAUAGACCCGAAACCCGGUGAUCUAGCCAUGGGCAGGUUGAAGGUUGGGUAACACUAACUGGAGGACCGAACCGACUAAUGUUGAAAAAUUAGCGGAUGACUUGUGGCUGGGGGUGAAAGGCCAAUCAAACCGGGAGAUAGCUGGUUCUCCCCGAAAGCUAUUUAGGUAGCGCCUCGUGAAUUCAUCUCCGGGGGUAGAGCACUGUUUCGGCAAGGGGGUCAUCCCGACUUACCAACCCGAUGCAAACUGCGAAUACCGGAGAAUGUUAUCACGGGAGACACACGGCGGGUGCUAACGUCCGUCGUGAAGAGGGAAACAACCCAGACCGCCAGCUAAGGUCCCAAAGUCAUGGUUAAGUGGGAAACGAUGUGGGAAGGCCCAGACAGCCAGGAUGUUGGCUUAGAAGCAGCCAUCAUUUAAAGAAAGCGUAAUAGCUCACUGGUCGAGUCGGCCUGCGCGGAAGAUGUAACGGGGCUAAACCAUGCACCGAAGCUGCGGCAGCGACACUGUGUGUUGUUGGGUAGGGGAGCGUUCUGUAAGCCUGUGAAGGUGUGCUGUGAGGCAUGCUGGAGGUAUCAGAAGUGCGAAUGCUGACAUAAGUAACGAUAAAGCGGGUGAAAAGCCCGCUCGCCGGAAGACCAAGGGUUCCUGUCCAACGUUAAUCGGGGCAGGGUGAGUCGACCCCUAAGGCGAGGCCGAAAGGCGUAGUCGAUGGGAAACAGGUUAAUAUUCCUGUACUUGGUGUUACUGCGAAGGGGGGACGGAGAAGGCUAUGUUGGCCGGGCGACGGUUGUCCCGGUUUAAGCGUGUAGGCUGGUUUUCCAGGCAAAUCCGGAAAAUCAAGGCUGAGGCGUGAUGACGAGGCACUACGGUGCUGAAGCAACAAAUGCCCUGCUUCCAGGAAAAGCCUCUAAGCAUCAGGUAACAUCAAAUCGUACCCCAAACCGACACAGGUGGUCAGGUAGAGAAUACCAAGGCGCUUGAGAGAACUCGGGUGAAGGAACUAGGCAAAAUGGUGCCGUAACUUCGGGAGAAGGCACGCUGAUAUGUAGGUGAAGUCCCUCGCGGAUGGAGCUGAAAUCAGUCGAAGAUACCAGCUGGCUGCAACUGUUUAUUAAAAACACAGCACUGUGCAAACACGAAAGUGGACGUAUACGGUGUGACGCCUGCCCGGUGCCGGAAGGUUAAUUGAUGGGGUCAGCGCAAGCGAAGCUCUUGAUCGAAGCCCCGGUAAACGGCGGCCGUAACUAUAACGGUCCUAAGGUAGCGAAAUUCCUUGUCGGGUAAGUUCCGACCUGCACGAAUGGCGUAAUGAUGGCCAGGCUGUCUCCACCCGAGACUCAGUGAAAUUGAACUCGCUGUGAAGAUGCAGUGUACCCGCGGCAAGACGGAAAGACCCCGUGAACCUUUACUAUAGCUUGACACUGAACAUUGAGCCUUGAUGUGUAGGAUAGGUGGGAGGCUUUGAAGUGUGGACGCCAGUCUGCAUGGAGCCGACCUUGAAAUACCACCCUUUAAUGUUUGAUGUUCUAACGUGGACCCGUGAUCCGGGUUGCGGACAGUGU
This 2069-nucleotide ribosomal RNA is filed under the name Escherichia coli. RNAcentral describes it as "partial 23S ribosomal RNA". It matches the Rfam family "Bacterial large subunit ribosomal RNA", at positions 165 to 2257 of the family's 2925-position model. The record is from RNAcentral. Lineage: Bacteria; Pseudomonadati; Pseudomonadota; Gammaproteobacteria; Enterobacterales; Enterobacteriaceae.